RNAcentral lists this ribosomal RNA (253 nucleotides) under uncultured bacterium. RNAcentral's name for it is "partial 16S ribosomal RNA". It matches the Rfam family "Bacterial small subunit ribosomal RNA", at positions 524 to 776 of the family's 1533-position model. The record is from RNAcentral.
UACGUAGGGCGCAAGCGUUGUCCGGAAUUAUUGGGCGUAAAGAGCUCGUAGGCGGUUUGUCGCGUCUGUCGUGAAAGCUUGGGGCUUAACCCCAAGUCUGCGGUGGAUACGGGCAGACUAGAGGCAGGUAGGGGAGAACGGAAUUCCUGGUGUAGCGGUGAAAUGCGCAGAUAUCAGGAAGAACACCCGUGGCGAAGGCGGCUCUCUGGGACGGUACUGACGCUGAGACGCGAAAGCGUGGGGAGCGAACAGG